AUGUUGUUAUACCGAAAAAGGCUUUCGCCCCGCUUUAUAUAUAAAGCACCAACCACACAUUACAGCCAUCACCACAACAAAGAAGGAAAAGAAGAUAAAACAAAAUCGACAAGGGUACAAACACUACGGAACAACAAGCGACGGCCUCCGAUCAUGCCAUCGACGCAACUGCGACAAGGGAGCAAUUCGCCACCGGAGGGAGGCCACGCUCCAUCAACUCCCAAGGGCCAACCCUGUUGUCCUACCUUCUGCCGCUGCCUCCGAAGAGGGCACCCCUGCCCUCUCGUCCUGGAUCGAAGGACGCCGACCCGUCAGGAGGCAGAACAGCUCACCCCUGAGCACGGAUGGACUGGCCAACAUGUUGCCGGGGAGAGGACGAGCCCUGGCCACCUCACCUCUCACAGGAACCCAUACAUCACGCACGUCACCGGCCAAGACCAAGAAGCCCAUCGCCAUUGCCGAGCAGGGACACGACAGAAACAGGCAAACCACCACCGCGCCGAUCCCCUGACCAUCCUGGACUCCCAAGGCAGCGUCUUCAAGAAGAAAACGACGCCGAUGCGCCGUCGCCGCCCAAUCAAGAGAUUUUAG
RNAcentral lists this ribosomal RNA (591 nucleotides) under Triticum aestivum (bread wheat). Its description in RNAcentral is "partial small subunit ribosomal RNA". The record is from RNAcentral. Lineage: Eukaryota; Viridiplantae; Streptophyta; Magnoliopsida; Poales; Poaceae.